Molecule: ribosomal RNA, 474 nt
Filed under: uncultured bacterium
Lineage: Bacteria
Description: partial 16S ribosomal RNA
Rfam family: Bacterial small subunit ribosomal RNA
Source: RNAcentral
AUACCAGACUCCUACGGGAGGCAGCAGUGGGGAAUAUUGCGCAAUGGGCGAAAGCCUGACGCAGCGACGCCGCGUGAGGGAUGAAGGUCUUCGGAUCGUAAACCUCUGUCAGCAGGGAAGAACGGUCACUGUGCUAAUCAGCAGUGAAUUAACGGUACCUGCAAAGGAAGCACCGGCUAACUACGUGCCAGCAGCCGCGGUAAUACGUAGGGGGCAAGCGUUAUCCGGAUUUACUGGGUGUAAAGGGAGCGUAGACGGUUGUGCAAGUCUGAAGUGAAAGCCCGCGGCUCAACUGCGGAACGGCUUUGGAAACUGUGUAACUGGAGUGCUGGAGAGGUAAGCGGAAUUCCUGGUGUAGCGGUGAAAUGCGUAGAGAUCAGGAGGAACACCGGCGGCGAAGGCGGCUUACUGGACAGUAACUGACGUUGAGGCUCGAAAGCGUGGGGAGCAAACAGGAUUAGAUACCCGGGUACA